Molecule: ribosomal RNA, 398 nt
Filed under: uncultured bacterium
Lineage: Bacteria
Description: bacterial SSU rRNA
Rfam family: Bacterial small subunit ribosomal RNA
Source: RNAcentral
AUUGAACGCUGGCGGCAUGCCUUACACAUGCAAGUCGAACGGCAGCACGGGAGCAAUCCUGGUGGCGAGUGGCGAACGGGUGAGUAAUAUAUCGGAACGUGCCCAGUCGUGGGGAUAACGUAGCGAAAGCUACGCUAAUACCGCAUACGAUCUAUGGAUGAAAGCGGGGGAUCGCAAGACCUCGCGCGAUUGGAGCGGCCGAUAUCAGAUUAGGUAGUUGGUGAGGUAAAGGCUCGCCAAGCCGACGAUCUGUAGCUGGUCUGAGAGGACGACCAGCCACACUGGGACUGAGACACGGCCCAGACUCCUACGGGAGGCAGCAGUGGGGAAUUUUUGGGACAAUGGGCGCAAGCCUGAUCCAGCAAUGCCGCGUGCAGGAUGAAGGCCUCGGUUGUAAC